GGGACGAUCUUGAGGAGGCGCCUAGAGAUAAGUUGGGGUGGAUUGCUGAAAUCUUGAGAAAGAAAGAAAGUGAACUUGAGGGUGAAGAUGCUGCUUCUACUGGGGAUUCAGAGAGUGAGGAGGACGAUGGUGAGGAUGAAGGAAGUGACGAUGGGGAAGAUGAAGAAAGUGAGGAGUCUGAUGAAGAACAAGGAAAGACACAGACUAUUAAGGACUGGGAGCAAAGUGACGAUGAUAUUAUUGAUACUGAGGAAGAGGAUGAUGAUGAAGGUUCUGGUGAUGAUGCUAAGAAGGUGAUGAAAAUAAAGGACCACAAGCAGGUAGCUGUCAAGGGAAAAGAAGAUGGCACUUCACAAACCAAAAAAGAAAAAACGACAGCGAAAGAUCAACAAAGCGAACUUCCCUAUACAAUUGAAGCCCCUAAAACCCUGGAGGAGUUUACUUCAUUGAUAGACAAUUGUUCUGAUGAUCAAGUAAUUGAAGCAAUCAAGAGAAUUCGUGCAUUCAAUGCA
RNAcentral lists this unclassified non-coding RNA (512 nucleotides) under Hevea brasiliensis (rubber tree). Lineage: Eukaryota; Viridiplantae; Streptophyta; Magnoliopsida; Malpighiales; Euphorbiaceae. The record is from RNAcentral.